AAGGGGUGUCCGAGGUAUUGGGCUGAGAUUAUACCCAUAUAACCAGAUCCGGAUAAUGCCGGCGUUGGGAAGAGGUUA
This 78-nucleotide non-coding RNA is filed under the name uncultured Prevotella sp. Lineage: Bacteria; Pseudomonadati; Bacteroidota; Bacteroidia; Bacteroidales; Prevotellaceae. The record is from RNAcentral.